RNAcentral lists this long non-coding RNA (266 nucleotides) under Ananas comosus (pineapple). RNAcentral's name for it is "long non-coding RNA (ACOM_LNC021579)". Lineage: Eukaryota; Viridiplantae; Streptophyta; Magnoliopsida; Poales; Bromeliaceae. The record is from RNAcentral.
AUAUUGUUAUUAUAAAGCCAAAAUAUAUAUAAAAUGCAGAGUCCGUAUUCGGUUAUGGUGUUUGUAAAAGUACCAAGCACUUGGUGCUUGUAAAUUUCUUACCGUUAGAUUUAUGUCUUAAUUUGAUCAUUUUCAAUCGUUAGAUAUACUAUUCAACCAACUACCCACUCAACCCUAGGAGGCCCACAUCAUCUUAACCGCACUUUUCUUAAUCCAACGGCCAAAAAUAUACAAACACCAAUAACUUGGUACUUUUAACAGCAUAG